UUGAUGCCAAUGACUUAGAGUUCCUUUGUU
This 30-nucleotide non-coding RNA is filed under the name Rattus norvegicus (Norway rat). The record is from RNAcentral. Lineage: Eukaryota; Metazoa; Chordata; Mammalia; Rodentia; Muridae.